This is a non-coding RNA of Picea glauca (white spruce), 119 nucleotides long. The record is from Rfam. NCBI's taxonomy places the organism in Eukaryota, Viridiplantae, Streptophyta, Pinopsida, Pinales, Pinaceae.
GGGUGUGAUCAUACCAACAUUAAUGCACCAGAUCCCAUCAGAACUCCAUAGUUUAGCACGCUUGGGCUAGAGUAGUACUAGGAUUUGUGACCUCCUAGGAAGUCAUAGUGUUGCACCCU